AGAGUUUGAUCAUGGCUCAGAUUGAACGCUGGCGGCAUGCCUUACACAUGCAAGUCGAACGGCAGCACGGACUUCGGUCGGGUGGCGAGUGGCGAACGGGUGAGUAAUACAUCGGAACGUGUCCUGGAGUGGGGGAUAGCCCGGCGAAAGCCGGAUUAAUACCGCAUACGCUCUGAGGAGGAAAGCGGGGGAUCUUCGGACCUCGCGCUCAAGGGGCGGCCGAUGGCAGAUUAGCUAGUUGGUGGGGUAAAGGCCUACCAAGGCGACGAUCUGUAGCUGGUCUGAGAGGACGACCAGCCACACUGGGACUGAGACACGGCCCAGACUCCUACGGGAGGCAGCAGUGGGGAAUUUUGGACAAUGGGCGCAAGCCUGAUCCAGCAAUGCCGCGUGUGUGAAGAAGGCCUUCGGGUUGUAAAGCACUUUUGUCCGGAAAGAAAACCUCUGCCCUAAUACGGCGGGGGGAUGACGGUACCGGAAGAAUAAGCACCGGCUAACUACGUGCCAGCAGCCGCGGUAAUACGUAGGGUGCAAGCGUUAAUCGGAAUUACUGGGCGUAAAGCGUGCGCAGGCGGUCCGUUAAGACAGAUGUGAAAUCCCCGGGCUUAACCUGGGAACUGCAUUUGUGACUGGCGGACUCGAGUAUGGCAGAGGGGGGUAGAAUUCCACGUAGCAGUGAAAUGCGUAGAGAUGUGGAGGAAUACCGAUGGCGAAGGCAGCCCCCUGGGCCAAUACUGACGCUCAUGCACGAAAGCGUGGGGAGCAAACAGGAUUAGAUACCCUAGUAGUCC
This 791-nucleotide ribosomal RNA is filed under the name uncultured bacterium. Its description in RNAcentral is "bacterial SSU rRNA". It matches the Rfam family "Bacterial small subunit ribosomal RNA", at positions 8 to 796 of the family's 1533-position model. The record is from RNAcentral.